CAUAGUGGGUUGGUGUAUUGAUGGCAAUAGCAAUAUUGUAAAUAUUUGAUGAAGAUGAAGAUGAUAAAGUAAAACACUCAUUAAAAAUCACAUUUUCGUGAAUAAUCCGAACUUUUAGAGUGAACAAGUUAAAUGAAUUUUUUUAAAAAAUAUGGGUUAGCUUUGUGUUUGACCUUUUGUUUUGAGUCAUAUUUGAAAAAAAACCUUUGAAAAUAUAUGAAAAUGUGAACUCUAUAACAAAUAAGCCCUAAUGUGUCAAUUUUAGGAAGAAAUAACUAAAUGAUACUAGUGAUUUAGCAAAUAGGAUUUGAAGAUGUCACGUAGGUCUAGAUCCUAUAAAUCAAUCUAUUCAAAUUAUUUUAGUUAUAAAAUUGUUUAAUUAUUUUAUUUAGUCGGUUGAAAUCAACACAAUAAUGAAGCAAGGUUCUCUCCAGAGUCUGACACAUAAGCUUUUUAGAUUCAUAUUAGAGUGAUAUGUCAUUAACUGAAAAAACUUGAAGAACCAAUCAAAUCAUUUUGUUUAUACACGUCAUUUGUCUUGUGCCAAACCUUUUCUUCUUCGUUUAGUUUUUUUGUCGGCCUUCUUCGUUUACCACGAAGUUAGAGAGAUAUCAUUGUUGACGAAGAACUCGAGAUCAGAUCGGAAGUAGUAGCGUCGGCGGCGGAUACGGAGAUCAUCACAGGUUAGACGAGUCGACUAGACCGAUGAUCGAUCCCACCCCUAUUCAAAGCGUUUGAGCAGAAGGAUAUGAUAUUGGGUGGCUGUGGAUGGUGUUGAUUUGAUGGAGGAGGAGUAUCAAGUCCUGAUCUGACAGAGAAUGCAGGUACGGCUCCGGUCAUCGACGCCACAAUGGUAAAUCUUCCCGGUUUGAAAAUGUCCACUUAUGCAUUCUUUUAGUAUAUGUAUGUAGUUAUGUUUUAGAUCAUUGAGAUUUUAUAUAGAUAUUGGUGGCUUUCUAUGUUGUUUUGUUUAUCUAUUUUUGGGUUCAGACAGACGACAUCUAUUUUAGAUAUUUUGGUCGGCUGAUGUUUGUAGUCUAUAUGUAUUCUUGAUUUUGAAGUUUUUGUUUGUUUUUGUUUGUUUUUUUUUGUUUUUUGUUUUUUGUUUUUUGUUUUACUUGUCAGGUACUUACAUCUUUAACCUUGGCAAUACAUGGGAGAAGCUGCAGAUGGCUGCACAAAUUAUAUUCAGUGAGCCCACGAUUAUGAUUCUUACUGAUCCACGUACCGUCCACCGGGUAAAGUCAAAUUUUGAACUGAUGAGUCUUUUUUCUUAUACGACUGAUGGUUUUGUCUUAACUUGGUUCUUGUGAGUGUCUGUGUGUUGCUGCUGUUGCAGCCCAUUAAGGAAGGUGCUUUGGGAAACAUUCAAAUCAUUGCAUUCCGUGACACAGACUCUUCCAUGAGGUUUGUUGACAUUGGUAUUCAUGCUAACAACAAGGGGAAGCAGAGCAUUGGUUGUCUUUUCUUGCUUCUUGCUCGCAUGGUCCUUCAGAUGUGUGGAACCAUUCGCCUUGCUCAUAAGUGGGAAGUCUUGGUUGACCUGCUCUUAUACAUGGAGCCCGAGGAAGCCAAGCCAGAGGAUAAGGAUGGAGUUGGGCAGACUUUGGAUUACCUGCUCCUCAAUAUGGUGGUGGAGACCAAUGGACCACUGUUGCGAUCUGAUGCUGCAUGGCCAGGAGAAGCCCAGGUGUGAAUCUCUGCUGCUCCUGCCGCUGCUUCAUGGAACGAUUCUGGUGAGUCUUAGACAUAAACAACAUCUAUUAUUAUAAAGGAGUGUUUUCUCCCUCCUGGUGAUGCCACAUCAGAUUCCACAUAGAUAAGUGGACUUCCCUCGCGUCGACACGUGUCAACUGAGACAAAGCUCUGCGUUUUAUUUAAACGCGUAGCCUGACGGGCUUCUCUGUGUAAUGCAUGUUGGGCUCUGAAUAUUGUCUCUGUGUCCGGACCGAGAAGAUGAGAUUCUUAUUCCAACCCUAAUUACCCGAUCGAAGAGUUGCAGCAACUGACGAUGAAGAUUCUUGAGGCAACCGUUACAUUGAUUCGACACCAUUGACGAACUUCUUAACUCGUUAGCUCCAUUCCAUAUAUGAUAACUCAUUCAAUGCAUCUUAACUUUAUCAAGGCUGUGGAUCUCCUGCUAUAAAAUGGUAAACCUAUAUCCCAUAAAACUCAUCCUCACAACUCCUAAAAACUUCUUUUCAAUAGAAUGACAAAUUCAUCUAUCCUAUUCUCUGAUUUGAAGGCGUUAUACGUCCACCGUCGAAGUGCGACAGCUCCGGUUUUUAUAAGCUAGAAACGUGGACGGCGCUGUGGCGAGAUGGUGGGUGUAGACAUACUCUUCCUUGACUCUAAGGUUGUUCCGUUCUAAAAAUUCAUAAUCAUCGGUUUUUAAACUCAGAACUAUCAAACGUUUAUAUUGAAAGCUAUAAUUUACGUAUUUGGGAGUUGAUUUUGAUUAUGAUUGUUUAUUUUGUUUCCAUGUUUUCAUGUCCAUAUUCCUCUGAAAUUCAUCAUUACAAACCUCUCAAUCUUUAGCUUUUAAGAGAAAUUUCAAAGGAGAAGAGACCAUAGAAGAAGUGAGAAUAAACAGAGGUGAAGAAAAAACAUAGGUCACAAAGUUGUGGUCAAGGAGUUUUGGAAAGCGAUUUCUGAACAGAACAUAAGUGUUUAGAUCUCGGAUAAUAUGCCUAUGGAAAGAUCAAGCUGCAAGGAAUCCAUAGAAACAAACCGUGUUCAAAUCAGAGGAGCACUUGAGUAUGAGAUGGGUGAUGCUCAUAUGGCUAUCCAAGCCAGAUUGAUGAACCAAGCUUUGCAUAAACUGAGCCACUCUUUGUAUAACACUUAUCAUCUUUAUAAAUCAGACAAAGCUAUUCUCUGUUCUGCAGACACUACAUGGUGUUGUCUUUGUUGCGGCCAGGUGUGGAGACCAGUUUAUCGGAGGGAAAGCUUAAGAUGCAAUGUGAGGCUGACUCAGUUAUGGCAAUCUAGGAGGCUGAGGUUCUGAUAUUAAGGCACAUGUUUUACGUUUCAUUACACCAGAGAUUUUGUUCAUGCUGAACCUAUGGAUUUGACGCUAUGUAGAAACAAUGACGCUAUGUUGUCCUCUACAUUUGAAAUUAAGGUUGGUGUAAUCAAAUGGUCCACGGAUAAACAAUACGAUCAAGACUUUUCUUACUCUGCUGAUUAAGUGUCUGCAGCAAUAUCUAAGAUAGUUUAUUCAUGUUUGAUUUGUAAUGUUGUCUUAAGGAGGGUGUACUCCUUAUUGAUGUACGAAAUCCUACUACCUUUUUGUUUGUUUCCCAAUUAUAUUGGAUAGGUUAGUUAGUGUUGAUUUACUCUCUGGCAUUUGUUGCAUGGUGAUGGAUGGUUAUGGUUACCCUACCAAAGAUGCAGAAUGCUACAAUAUUUUUGAAAAGAAUGAGCCUGAGCAGCUUUGCUUUUGGUGCCAGUACUAUUAUAUGUUUUUUAUUCUUUCAUUUGCAAGGCUAUGUGUAUCGGAAAUGACUUAUUUAAGUGACUAUCAAUUACAUGAUAUUGGUUGCUUC
Long non-coding RNA from Brassica napus (rape), 3548 nucleotides. RefSeq lists it as uncharacterized. The transcript is spliced from 5 exons. Lineage: Eukaryota; Viridiplantae; Streptophyta; Magnoliopsida; Brassicales; Brassicaceae. The record is from RefSeq and is a predicted model, not a curated record.